UAAAGGACAGGGAAUGAUUUCUCCCCUGGCAAUCCGCCUAAACCGCUGUUUCAGCUGAUGACUUCUAUGUGUUU
RNAcentral lists this non-coding RNA (74 nucleotides) under Holdemania filiformis. RNAcentral describes it as "Fluoride sequence". It matches the Rfam family "Fluoride riboswitch aptamer (crcB RNA motif)". The record is from RNAcentral. Lineage: Bacteria; Bacillati; Bacillota; Erysipelotrichia; Erysipelotrichales; Erysipelotrichaceae.